GAAAAACACAUCACAACUAACACACCUCAGUUUUCCCGUUUUCUCAUUUUUCCCUCCAACAAACUUUUUCCCCAUUCUACCUCACUCCACUCACUCUAUAUAACUCAUUCACUCCCUUUCAUUCAAGACACUAAUUUUUGGAAAGAGAAAUCAGAUCUACAACCUUUCUCUAUUUUCUCCAUUUUUCUUCUUGGAAGCUCUUGCUACUUGGUAUUUUCUGUUUCUCCCUUACCUCAUUUGUAUCAUCUAAGGAUCAUAGAGCAAGUUUUAUUGGGUUUCUGGAGAUCUUAA
Molecule: non-coding RNA, 291 nt
Organism: Vicia faba (fava bean)
Lineage: Eukaryota; Viridiplantae; Streptophyta; Magnoliopsida; Fabales; Fabaceae
Source: the annotation of a GenBank genome assembly